Molecule: ribosomal RNA, 497 nt
Filed under: uncultured bacterium
Lineage: Bacteria
Description: partial 16S ribosomal RNA
Rfam family: Bacterial small subunit ribosomal RNA
Source: RNAcentral
GACGAACGCUGGCGGCGUGCCUAAUACAUGCAAGUUGAGCGAUGAAGAUUGGUGCUUGCACCAAUUUGAAGAGCAGCGAACGGGUGAGUAACGCGUGGGGAAUCUGCCUUUGAGCGGGGGACAACAUUUGGAAACGAAUGCUAAUACCGCAUAACAACUUUAAACAUAAGUUUUAAGUUUGAAAGAUGCAAUUGCAUCACUCAAAGAUGAUCCCGCGUUGUAUUAGCUAGUUGGUGAGGUAAAGGCUCACCAAGGCGAUGAUACAUAGCCGACCUGAGAGGGUGAUCGGCCACAUUGGGAAUGAGAACCGGCCCAAACCCCCACGGGGGGGAGCAGUAGGGAAUCCUCGGGCAUGGACGAAAAGUUGAACCAGCAACGCCGCGGGAGUUAAGAAGGGUUUCCGAUCGUAAAACUCCGUUUGUAGAGAAGAACGGUGGUGAGAGGGGAAAGCUCAUCAAGUGACGGUAACUACCCAGAAAGGGACGGCUAACUACGUG